Molecule: ribosomal RNA, 1627 nt
Filed under: Staphylococcus aureus
Lineage: Bacteria; Bacillati; Bacillota; Bacilli; Caryophanales; Staphylococcaceae
Description: partial 23S ribosomal RNA
Rfam family: Bacterial large subunit ribosomal RNA
Source: RNAcentral
UAAGGGCGCACGGUGGAUGCCUUGGCACUAGAAGCCGAUGAAGGACGUUACUAACGACGAUAUGCUUUGGGGAGCUGUAAGUAAGCUUUGAUCCAGAGAUUUCCGAAUGGGGAAACCCAGCAUGAGUUAUGUCAUGUUAUCGAUAUGUGAAUACAUAGCAUAUCAGAAGGCACACCCGGAGAACUGAAACAUCUUAGUACCCGGAGGAAGAGAAAGAAAAUUCGAUUCCCUUAGUAGCGGCGAGCGAAACGGGAAGAGCCCAAACCAACAAGCUUGCUUGUUGGGGUUGUAGGACACUCUAUACGGAGUUACAAAGGACGACAUUAGACGAAUCAUCUGGAAAGAUGAAUCAAAGAAGGUAAUAAUCCUGUAGUCGAAAAUGUUGUCUCUCUUGAGUGGAUCCUGAGUACGACGGAGCACGUGAAAUUCCGUCGGAAUCUGGGAGGACCAUCUCCUAAGGCUAAAUACUCUCUAGUGACCGAUAGUGAACCAGUACCGUGAGGGAAAGGUGAAAAGCACCCCGGAAGGGGAGUGAAAUAGAACCUGAAACCGUGUGCUUACAAGUAGUCAGAGCCCGUUAAUGGGUGAUGGCGUGCCUUUUGUAGAAUGAACCGGCGAGUUACGAUUUGAUGCAAGGUUAAGCAGUAAAUGUGGAGCCGUAGCGAAAGCGAGUCUGAAUAGGGCGUUUAGUAUUUGGUCGUAGACCCGAAACCAGGUGAUCUACCCUUGGUCAGGUUGAAGUUCAGGUAACACUGAAUGGAGGACCGAACCGACUUACGUUGAAAAGUGAGCGGAUGAACUGAGGGUAGCGGAGAAAUUCCAAUCGAACCUGGAGAUAGCUGGUUCUCUCCGAAAUAGCUUUAGGGCUAGCCUCAAGUGAUGAUUAUUGGAGGUAGAGCACUGUUUGGACGAGGGGCCCCUCUCGGGUUACCGAAUUCAGACAAACUCCGAAUGCCAAUUAAUUUAACUUGGGAGUCAGAACAUGGGUGAUAAGGUCCGUGUUCGAAAGGGAAACAGCCCAGACCACCAGCUAAGGUCCCAAAAUAUAUGUUAAGUGGAAAAGGAUGUGGCGUUGCCCAGACAACUAGGAUGUUGGCUUAGAAGCAGCCAUCAUUUAAAGAGUGCGUAAUAGCUCACUAGUCGAGUGACACUGCGCCGAAAAUGUACCGGGGCUAAACAUAUUACCGAAGCUGUGGAUUGUCCUUUGGACAAUGGUAGGAGAGCGUUCUAAGGGCGUUGAAGCAUGAUCGUAAGGACAUGUGGAGCGCUUAGAAGUGAGAAUGCCGGUGUGAGUAGCGAAAGACGGGUGAGAAUCCCGUCCACCGAUUGACUAAGGUUUCCAGAGGAAGGCUCGUCCGCUCUGGGUUAGUCGGGUCCUAAGCUGAGGCCGACAGGCGUAGGCGAUGGAUAACAGGUUGAUAUUCCUGUACCACCUAUAAUCGUUUUAAUCGAUGGGGGGACGCAGUAGGAUAGGCGAAGCGUGCGAUUGGAUUGCACGUCUAAGCAGUAAGGCUGAGUAUUAGGCAAAUCCGGUACUCGUUAAGGCUGAGCUGUGAUGGGGAGAAGACAUUGUGUCUUCGAGUCGUUGAUUUCACACUGCCGAGAAAAGCCUCUAGAUAGAAAAUAG